Molecule: ribosomal RNA, 559 nt
Filed under: uncultured bacterium
Lineage: Bacteria
Description: bacterial SSU rRNA
Rfam family: Bacterial small subunit ribosomal RNA
Source: RNAcentral
CGGAAUCUGCCUAUUUGUGGGGGAUAACGUAGGGAAACUUACGCUAAUACCGCAUACGACCUACGGGUGAAAGCAGGGGAUCUUCGGACCUUGCGCGAUUGAAUGAGCCGAUGUCGGAUUAGCUAGUUGGCGGGGUAAAGGCCCACCAAGGCGACGAUCCGUAGCUGGUCUGAGAGGAUGAUCAGCCACACUGGAACUGAGACACGGUCCAGACUCCUACGGGAGGCAGCAGUGGGGAAUAUUGGACAAUGGGCGCAAGCCUGAUCCAGCCAUACCGCGUGGGUGAAGAAGGCCUUCGGGUUGUAAAGCCCUUUUGUUGGGAAAGAAAUCCAGCCGGCUAAUACCUGGUUGGGAUGACGGUACCCAAAGAAUAAGCACCGGCUAACUUCGUGCCAGCAGCCGCGGUAAUACGAAGGGUGCAAGCGUUACUCGGAAUUACUGGGCGUAAAGCGUGCGUAGGUGGUUGUUUAAGUCUGUUGUGAAAGCCCUGGGCUCAACCUGGGAACUGCAGUGGAAACUGGACAACUAGAGUGUGGUAGAGGGUAGCGGAAUUCCCGGU